GUGCUUGCUUUAGCAGCACAUAUACUAAAACUGGAACAAUACAGAGAGGACCAAUAGUGUGGCCCUUGAGCAAGGGCGACACACAAAUUCAGCAAGUGUUCCAUGUUUUC
Small nuclear RNA from Cricetulus griseus (Chinese hamster), 110 nucleotides. NCBI's taxonomy places the organism in Eukaryota, Metazoa, Chordata, Mammalia, Rodentia, Cricetidae. The record is from Ensembl.